GAUGAACGCUGGCGGCGUGCCUAAUACAUGCAAGUCGAGCGAACAGAUAAGGAGCUUGCUCCUUUGACGUUAGCGGCGGACGGGUGAGUAACACGUGGGUAACCUACCUAUAAGACUGGGAUAACUUCGGGAAACCGGAGCUAAUACCGGAUAACAUUUGGAACCGCAUGGUUCUAAAGUGAAAGAUGGUCUUGCUAUCACUUAUAGAUGGACCCGCGCCGUAUUAGCUAGUUGGUAAGGUAACGGCUUACCAAGGCAACGAUACGUAGCCGACCUGAGAGGGUGAUCGGCCACACUGGAACUGAGACACGGUCCAGACUCCUACGGGAGGCAGCAGUAGGGAAUCUUCCGCAAUGGGCGAAAGCCUGACGGAGCAACGCCGCGUGAGUGAUGAAGGGUUUCGGCUCGUAAAACUCUGUUAUUAGGGAAGAACAAACGUGUAAGUAACUGUGCACGUCUUGACGGUACCUAAUCAGAAAGCCACGGCUAACUACGUG
RNAcentral lists this ribosomal RNA (497 nucleotides) under uncultured bacterium. Its description in RNAcentral is "partial 16S ribosomal RNA". It matches the Rfam family "Bacterial small subunit ribosomal RNA", at positions 28 to 507 of the family's 1533-position model. The record is from RNAcentral.